This 600-nucleotide unclassified non-coding RNA is filed under the name Penicillium rubens. Its description in RNAcentral is "sequence contains 18S rRNA gene, ITS1, 5.8S rRNA gene, ITS2, 28S rRNA gene". The stretch from base 222 to 374 matches the Rfam family "5.8S ribosomal RNA". The record is from RNAcentral. Lineage: Eukaryota; Fungi; Ascomycota; Eurotiomycetes; Eurotiales; Aspergillaceae.
AGUCGUAACAAGGUUUCCGUAGGUGAACCUGCGGAAGGAUCAUUACCGAGUGAGGGCCCUCUGGGUCCAACCUCCCACCCGUGUUUAUUUUACCUUGUUGCUUCGGCGGGCCCGCCUUAACUGGCCGCCGGGGGGCUUACGCCCCCGGGCCCGCGCCCGCCGAAGACACCCUCGAACUCUGUCUGAAGAUUGUAGUCUGAGUGAAAAUAUAAAUUAUUUAAAACUUUCAACAACGGAUCUCUUGGUUCCGGCAUCGAUGAAGAACGCAGCGAAAUGCGAUACGUAAUGUGAAUUGCAAAUUCAGUGAAUCAUCGAGUCUUUGAACGCACAUUGCGCCCCCUGGUAUUCCGGGGGGCAUGCCUGUCCGAGCGUCAUUUCUGCCCUCAAGCACGGCUUGUGUGUUGGGCCCCGUCCUCCGAUCCCGGGGGACGGGCCCGAAAGGCAGCGGCGGCACCGCGUCCGGUCCUCGAGCGUAUGGGGCUUUGUCACCCGCUCUGUAGGCCCGGCCGGCGCUUGCCGAUCAACCCAAAUUUUUAUCCAGGUUGACCUCGGAUCAGGUAGGGAUACCCGCUGAACUUAAGCAUAUCAAUAAGCGGAGGA